CUGAACCUCAUAACCUCAUGUUUCCUCUUUCUGGCAUCCAAAAGGUGAUGAAAGACACCUCCAGGCCAAAUUUACCAGAGUGUCCAGCUGCAAAGAGAAAGAGAAAGGUAAUAGAUAAAACUCUGUAUGUGGAUGAAUUCCAAGAGCAAUAGAGUUCUACAAGAAAUUGUUUCCCCUGGGACCUUUCUGCUAAAUCUUCAUGGACUGCUGCAGUGGUUCAGUUUUGUGUUGGGAUUUGUCUGGGUCUCUCAAGAGGAAGAAAGGGAUAGGAAGAUGGAAAGAACUUUAAUAAGGAGCACUAGAUCGCAGCAUGGAGGAGAUAGUUCUAGAUCUUCAAUGGCACAGGUGGGUAAAUAUUGAUUAAAAUAGUUGACGAUAUAUUUCAAAA
Molecule: long non-coding RNA, 388 nt
Filed under: Fukomys damarensis (Damara mole-rat)
Lineage: Eukaryota; Metazoa; Chordata; Mammalia; Rodentia; Bathyergidae
Description: lncRNA (ENSFDAG00000022469.1)
Source: RNAcentral